RNAcentral lists this ribosomal RNA (501 nucleotides) under uncultured soil bacterium. Its description in RNAcentral is "bacterial SSU rRNA". It matches the Rfam family "Bacterial small subunit ribosomal RNA", at positions 26 to 509 of the family's 1533-position model. The record is from RNAcentral.
AGAUUGAACGCUGGCGGCAUGCCUUACACAUGCAAGUCGAACGGCAGCACGGGAGCAAUCCUGGUGGCGAGUGGCGAACGGGUGAGCAAUAUAUCGGAACGUGCCCAGUCGUGGGGGAUAACGCAGCGAAAGCUGUGCUAAUACCGCAUACGAUCUAUGGAUGAAAGCGGGGGAUCGCAAGACCUCGCGCGAAUUGGAGCGGCCGAUAUCAGAUUAGCUAGUUGGUGGGGUAAAAGCCUACCAAGGCGACGAUCUGUAGCUGGUCUGAGAGGACGACCAGCCACACUGGAACUGAGACACGGUCCAGACUCCUACGGGAGGCAGCAGUGGGGUAAUUUUGGAACAAGUGGGCGCGAAGCCUGAUCCAGCAAUGCCGCGUGCAGGAUAGAAGGCCUUGGUGUAACGUAGUCUUUGUACGGAACGUAACGUACUCUACUAAUACGAGGGACGUAAGUACGAACGGUACCGUAAGAAGUAAGACGACCGACGUAACUACGUACG